AACGAACGCUGGCGGCAUGCCUAACACAUGCAAGUCGAACGAGACCUUCGGGUCUAGUGGCGCACGGGUGCGUAACGCGUGGGAAUCUGCCCUUGGGUCCGGAAUAACUCAGAGAAAUUUGAGCUAAUACCGGAUGAUGACGUAAGUCCAAAGAUUUAUCGCCCAGGGAUGAGCCCGCGUAGGAUUAGCUAGUUGGUGAGGUAAAGGCUCACCAGGGCGACGAUCCUUAGCNGGUCUGAGAGGAUGAUCAGCCACACUGGGACUGAGACACGGCCCAGACUCCUACGGGAGGCAGCAGUGGGGAAUAUUGGACAAUGGGCGAAAGCCUGAUCCAGCAAUGCCGCGUGAGUGAUGAAGGCCUUAGGGUUGUAAAGCUCUUUUACCCGGGAUGAUAAUGACAGUACCGGGAGAAUAAGCCCCGGCUAACUCCGUGCCAGCCGCCGCGGUAAG
This 450-nucleotide ribosomal RNA is filed under the name uncultured bacterium. RNAcentral's name for it is "bacterial SSU rRNA". It matches the Rfam family "Bacterial small subunit ribosomal RNA", at positions 29 to 524 of the family's 1533-position model. The record is from RNAcentral.